RNAcentral lists this long non-coding RNA (1055 nucleotides) under Helianthus annuus (common sunflower). Its description in RNAcentral is "hypothetical non coding rna". Lineage: Eukaryota; Viridiplantae; Streptophyta; Magnoliopsida; Asterales; Asteraceae. The record is from RNAcentral.
UUUAUCCGUUUAAUUUCCAAAUUAAAUGCCUACCUGGACCCAUUUAACUAAAAAAUGUGUUAAUUAGGAUUUCAUAUAUCUUCUGUCUAGCCUAACGGGUAUACUUUUAAAACUAACUGAAAAAGAAACCGGUCACAUGGGUGAUCGGGUCAAAAGUUAUCGAAGUUCUUUUCGAAGGUAUAAAACCUCCAGAAUUGCUUUUGUUAUCAAAAGUAUAUCACUAAGUUUAUCAAUCAAUAUACUUUUAUAAUCUUAUCUAUUCAUCAUUUAUUUAUAAAACAAUAAAAAAUGAACCACCCAACUCGACCCAUUUGUAUCCGUACUAAAAGUUACCCACUUAAUCCAUUACGCAACAAACCAGACCCGUUCAACUACCUACUUUACGUUUUACUACCCACUUUCUAGAUAACACAUUAUACGAAUUGACCCAUUUUGAGUAAAAAUUUACCUACAGGAGGCAGAGGAGCACCAAUAGCUGCAAAACCAAAAAAAUAUAAACAAAUGAGAUCAUAAGAAGUGAAUUAGUCCGUAAGUAGCUAGUGAGUAGCUAUAUAAAUAAGUAGACCUAUGUACCUAAUUGAGUGAUAACUACUUAUGUGCCCACAUAAUACAAUAGCAGUUGAUGAAACUGCACCAAAUACAACAGGAGCACACUAACAUUUAUCAAUUCCUAACUUAAAUAACCAAUUUGGAUAAAAAAAAAUCUUAUAUUACUUGACCGAUAAACCACAUAACAUUAAAAAUGUCAUUGAAGAAUUUAAAGAAUGGAUCUAAGAAUACGAACCUCAUAGCUCUUUUUUUCUGCUAACGCUCGAUUUGUCUUCAACAGAGACAAAGGCGUGCUUGUGGAGCUAACGACGUACUUUAGGUAAUAAAGAUUCGUAUACAAGUGGGUACAUACUACUUCCGUCAAUAUAACAUGGCAUCACGAAUGCCCAGUUCUUGAAUUUCUUGGAAAAUAAUUGCCAACUUAGAAACAUAUUAAUUAGCGGGUUUACCACGUCAUACAAUGAGCGAGAAAGUGAAAAUUAAGUGGUCUCAUUGAUUGACACUUG